GUAGUCUCGCACAGAUGCAUAUCAAUAGCGGAGGAAAAGAAACUAACAAGGAUUCCCUUAGUAACGGCGAGUGAAGCGGGAAGAGCUCAAAUUUGAAAUCUUCAAGGUUUUACCUUGACGAAUUGUAGUUUAAAGAAGUGUUUUCUGUUGAAGUUUUGGUAAAAGUUCUUUGGAAUAGGACAUCAUAGAGGGUGAGAAUCCCGUAUUUGACCAUUAUUUUCAGCUGUGUGAUACACUUUCAAAGAGUCGGAUUGUUUGGGAAUGCAGUCCAAAAUGGGUGGUAAAUUUCAUCUAAAGCUAAAUAUUGGCGAGAGACCGAUAGCGAACAAGUACCGUGAGGGAAAGAUGAAAAGAACUUUGAAAAGAGAGUUAAACAGUACGUGAAAUUGUCAAAAGGGAAGCGUUUGACACCAGUGUUGUUUUCUCGAAAAUCAAUUAAAAAUGAGUUAGAUUUUGUAUGUGUAUUGACCUUAACAGCUUGCACUGUACAUUUUUCGUGUCUUUUUUAAUGCACUUUUCGUUUAACAAGUCAACAUCAGUUUCUUUUGUUGUAAAAGGGUCAUUGGAAGGUGGCUUUCUUUUCGGAGAAAGUGUUUAUAGCCUUUGACUCCUGCAAUCGGAGAGACUGAGGAUCUGCAGCGUAGAUCCUUCGGGGUUAGAUACAUUUGUGCUAAGUUAUAGCUUUUUAUAGACAACUUGUUGACUAUGAUUAGUCUUGUAGCUUACUCGCUUAUGCUAUUUUACCUACGCUUAGGAUGUUGAAGAUGUAGCACAUCAU
Molecule: ribosomal RNA, 778 nt
Filed under: uncultured Neocallimastigales
Lineage: Eukaryota; Fungi; Neocallimastigomycota; Neocallimastigomycetes; Neocallimastigales
Description: partial large subunit ribosomal RNA
Rfam family: Eukaryotic large subunit ribosomal RNA
Source: RNAcentral